Molecule: long non-coding RNA, 2815 nt
Filed under: Anas platyrhynchos platyrhynchos (common mallard)
Lineage: Eukaryota; Metazoa; Chordata; Aves; Anseriformes; Anatidae
Description: lncRNA (ENSAPLG00000024676.1)
Source: RNAcentral
GUGGUUGUGCGAGCCCCUUUCAUCCCGGGAGCUCUCAAAAGGCAUUUGCAAAUGUUUAUAGGGGCAGCUUUUCUGCACGCACCAGCCCUCCAAGCGGGUGAGCAGCCCCGCAGGGCGCUCAUCCCGCCCCAAGAGGUCCCCAGGAAAGCCUGGGAAGCCAGACAGGUUUGUGGGGAGGUUUUCAUCAGCCCGCUGCAGCACACAGCAAACUCUAUUUCUGCUGUGUAUGCUGCCUUUAUAUAAAAUAUCAAUUCAGGGUCUGAGGGCAUGGUGGCUGAAAGCCCGGCUGGGUUUUGGGACCAAAAUGCAAACUCUACCUCUCUCGCAGGGCUCUCCUUGCAGGAGGAGGAGAAGUGAAUGGCCUGCACGCAACAGAUGUUUCCCAUGUCCCUGAAAGCUGUACUCGAAAGUGCUUAGUUACUAUGGUGCUGGAGGUGGCAUUAGACUUUACACAGGCCGAAAGAGCGGUCUGUGAAAGUGGGCGACUUCAUCUGUCAUUGAAAGCCCCGGAGUAGCUGGCUAUCCGCACGUCCCUCCCUUCAAGGAGAAACGCUUCUGCCACAGAGGUUUGGGGUUUGUGCAAUCUCUGAUCAUUUUAUGGACACACUGGAGCUGUAGAAAACAAGAUGGGCUUGCUUGCCACCCCCCUUGAAGACUGACCCCAAAUAAAAAGAAAAAUAACAGGGAGACACUAAGGCCCAAAGAGAGUUAAAUAUGCAAAGAGGGGGGGAAACUGUUUUAUUUAAAAGGUUUUAACAUGAAAAAGUAUAUGCAGAAUUGUUGUAGAAUUAUAAUAAUAAUAAAAAUAGUUCUAUUAUAGACUAUAUAAUUAAAUAAACAACACUCAGAGACAAAAUCACCGAAAUGGAGUUUUAGCACAUGGAAUAUUUUUCUGGCUCUGCACCAGGGCAGCACGAAUUAUUUGCCAGGGCAGAAACCUCCUUGCAAGCUCCAUGGUGGGGCUGGCAGCCCCCGGCCCUUUCGUCACGGGGACCACACUGUGAGCCCAUCGCCCGGCAGUGUGUGGGGUGCCAGGAGAUGCUGGCUGCUGAAACGGCAUCUGGAUUGUUUCUCCGUGUUAGCCUGGCCUCAACUUGUUUGUAAACCACGCUCACCCCUGCAGGUUGGGGAGUGGAGAGACAAAGUCGGAAGCAAAACCACUGCAAUGCCUCUUAUUCAGAGUGGGAAAGGCAGGGAGUCUGGGAGCUGUUCUCUACAGGCAGAAACACGGAGACUGGAUAUGCACAGACUGUGGCAGUGCUUCCUAAAAUACUCGCAUGUGCCAAGCGAUGGGAAGUCCCACUGGAAAUACUCACAGGCUGAAGUUACGCCGGCGAGGAGCUGGGGAAAAGCAGUGCUGGAAGCAUUUCUCCCUCCCCUAUAUAAGAGGGAAUGAUUACAGGAAUAGUACAGCAAUUAAAUAUGCAAGCACAUAAAAUGCUGUCUAUUUAUUGUAUAUGUCUACUCUACCACAAGUUUUUAUGUCAUGUCAAAGUAAAGGUAUAGUGUGAAAUCCUGGCUGUUGGGGCAUCAGUGGUAAAAUUCCCACUGGUCUGCAUAAAAGCUUUUCGCCCACUGUUUCCACUGGGAAUCAAACUGCCUAUUCAGAGUGCAGCCAGAGAAAAUAGCAGUAUUUAGACCAUCUGGGGACAGAAAAUGAGGCCUGUUACCUAGCUGGGUGGUUCUCCUGGCCACCACCAUGCAGGAGCAGGAGGAGAGAAGACAGUGGGCAGCGUGGUGGCUAAAGCCACGCAGGCAGAGGGGGAAAGUACCCCUUAUAAAGACAUUUUCUGAUGAUUUUUUUAGGAAACCUUCUGGUAAUCCCCAGUCAAUCUGCAUGCUAAUAGAGGUCAUUUACCAAAGCAGAAUACUGGGAAAAGCUUUGCAUAAUAAGAACGUUAGUUUGAUUUGAUACUAAAACUUUUCUACUGCUCAAUCAAAGCCAAAGCUGAAUUUCUGGAAGAAAAAAAAAAUGGCAUUGAAUGCAGAAGUGAAACUGGACACAGUUUAAGUGAGCUCUUUUUGAUCAAUUAGACCUUUCUGUGAUGUCAUCUUUAUUACUUAUUCUAAUGAGAUGGGUGUUGUAAAAAGGAUUGGGGAGUGAAAUCCAUUGAUAAUCUCCUUAGCGCUGUGGAUAAUAUACAAGGUUUCUCCCCCACAUUGAGAGCCCUAAGCUGUUCUAAUAUACUUUAAGACUUCUCAGUAUCUCCCUAUUCUUACAGGAAGAUGAUUUUCCUUUUUAUGAUGGGAUGUAGAUUUGUUCACUCGCUCUGAAUAAUUCUGUCAGAGAUUUACAGCUGCACUUAGUCGUUUUUAUUCACUGCUCUACUUUUUGUGCACAAAAGCCAUGGUUUAACCCCAGAUAAAUGCUAUCUGCUGCAGGGCUUUUUGAGUGUGCUAAAGACGUAGAAGCUAGUGCAGCUGCAAACUUCCUUCUCAAGCCUCAGAGCUACAUUAAACUAAUUUAAGUACCUAGGCAAAUAUGCUGAAUCUCCUCUGCCGAAGACCAUUUAGGAGGAGAAUGGAAUCUCUGGUUGAGUAUUUGCACAGCACUUCCUCAGUCUGAAGCAAGUGUUCAAGAUUAUAAUCAGGCUGUGUUAGCCACCACUUGGAUCUCUCUGUAUUUCAAGAGAUGCAUAACAAAGUGAUAAAAGCACUAAAAGAAGCAAAUUCAUGGCUCUUGGAUUGGGAUGUCUUUACCCUUCAGGCUGACAUCAGACCUUCCCAUGUGCAAACAGGAAAGAGAAAUCUAGCAAAGUUUCAAAACUAUCUAGAAAUCAGCAAGCAAACUAAGGCAGACUUGCAUGAAAUAAAG